CAGUAGCCGCGGGAAUACGUAGGUGGCAAGCGUUGUCCGGAAUUAUUGGGCGUAAAGGGCUCGCAGGCGGUUUCUUAAGUCUGAUGUGAAAGCCCCCGGCUCAACCGGGGAGGGUCAUUGGGAACUGGGAAACUUGAGUGCAGAAGAGGAGAGUGGAAUUCCACGUGUAGCGGUGAAAUGCGUAGAGAUGUGGAGGAACACCAGUGGCGAAGGCGACUCUCUGGUCUGUAACUGACGCUGAGGAGCGAAAGCGUGGGGAGCGAACAGGAUUAGAUACCCCUGUAGUCCCUGUCUCUUAUAC
This 301-nucleotide ribosomal RNA is filed under the name uncultured bacterium. Its description in RNAcentral is "partial 16S ribosomal RNA". It matches the Rfam family "Bacterial small subunit ribosomal RNA", at positions 509 to 807 of the family's 1533-position model. The record is from RNAcentral.